This 524-nucleotide ribosomal RNA is filed under the name Bifidobacterium dentium. RNAcentral's name for it is "bacterial SSU rRNA". It matches the Rfam family "Bacterial small subunit ribosomal RNA", at positions 161 to 696 of the family's 1533-position model. Lineage: Bacteria; Bacillati; Actinomycetota; Actinomycetes; Bifidobacteriales; Bifidobacteriaceae. The record is from RNAcentral.
UGGUAAUGCCGGAUGCUCCGGUUGGAUGCAUGUCCUUCCGGGAAAGAUCCGUCGGUAUGGGAUGGGGUCGCGUCCUAUCAGCUUGAUGGCGGGGUAACGGCCCACCAUGGCUUCGACGGGUAGCCGGCCUGAGAGGGCGACCGGCCACAUUGGGACUGAGAUACGGCCCAGACUCCUACGGGAGGCAGCAGUGGGGAAUAUUGCACAAUGGGCGCAAGCCUGAUGCAGCGACGCCGCGUGCGGGAUGGAGGCCUUCGGGUUGUAAACCGCUUUUGAUCGGGAGCAAGCCCUUCGGGGUGAGUGUACCUUUCGAAUAAGCACCGGCUAACUACGUGCCAGCAGCCGCGGUAAUACGUAGGGUGCAAGCGUUAUCCGGAAUUAUUGGGCGUAAAGGGCUCGUAGGCGGUUCGUCGCGUCCGGUGUGAAAGCCCAUCGCUUAACGGUGGGUCUGCGCCGGGUACGGGCGGGCUGGAGUGCGGUAGGGGAGACUGGAAUUCCCGGUGUAACGGUGGAAUGUGUAGAUA